Alligator mississippiensis (American alligator) is the source of this 113-nucleotide non-coding RNA. The record is from Rfam. Lineage: Eukaryota; Metazoa; Chordata; Crocodylia; Alligatoridae.
UUACUUUGGUUUCUUUUCAGAUCAUAUACAUCUUUAUCCUUUUACUAAGCAUUUCUUUGUAGAGGAACAGUCAUGAGUCUUGAACCAAAUUUGUGUGGGUGUAGGUGCACGCC